This 1662-nucleotide ribosomal RNA is filed under the name Salmonella enterica. RNAcentral describes it as "partial 23S ribosomal RNA". It matches the Rfam family "Bacterial large subunit ribosomal RNA", at positions 1292 to 2925 of the family's 2925-position model. The record is from RNAcentral. Lineage: Bacteria; Pseudomonadati; Pseudomonadota; Gammaproteobacteria; Enterobacterales; Enterobacteriaceae.
GAAUGCUGACAUAAGUAACGAUAAAGCGGGUGAAAAGCCCGCUCGCCGGAAGACCAAGGGUUCCUGUCCAACGUUAAUCGGGGCAGGGUGAGUCGACCCCUAAGGCGAGGCCGAAAGGCGUAGUCGAUGGGAAACGGGUUAAUAUUCCCGUACUUGGUGUUACUGCGAAGGGGGGACGGAGAAGGCUAUGUUGGCCGGGCGACGGUUGUCCCGGUUUAAGCGUGUAGGUGUGUGUUCCAGGUAAAUCCGGUUCACUUUAACACUGAGGCGUGACGACGAGGCACUACGGUGCUGAAGCAACAAAUGCCCUGCUUCCAGGAAAAGCCUCUAAGCAUCAGGUAACAUCAAAUCGUACCCCAAACCGACACAGGUGGUCAGGUAGAGAAUACCAAGGCGCUUGAGAGAACUCGGGUGAAGGAACUAGGCAAAAUGGUGCCGUAACUUCGGGAGAAGGCACGCUGACACGUAGGUGAAGUGAUUUACUCAUGGAGCUGAAGUCAGUCGAAGAUACCAGCUGGCUGCAACUGUUUAUUAAAAACACAGCACUGUGCAAACACGAAAGUGGACGUAUACGGUGUGACGCCUGCCCGGUGCCGGAAGGUUAAUUGAUGGGGUCAGCGCAAGCGAAGCUCCUGAUCGAAGCCCCGGUAAACGGCGGCCGUAACUAUAACGGUCCUAAGGUAGCGAAAUUCCUUGUCGGGUAAGUUCCGACCUGCACGAAUGGCGUAAUGAUGGCCAGGCUGUCUCCACCCGAGACUCAGUGAAAUUGAACUCGCUGUGAAGAUGCAGUGUACCCGCGGCAAGACGGAAAGACCCCGUGAACCUUUACUAUAGCUUGACACUGAACAUUGAGCCUUGAUGUGUAGGAUAGGUGGGAGGCUUUGAAGUGUGGACGCCAGUCUGCAUGGAGCCGACCUUGAAAUACCACCCUUUAAUGUUUGAUGUUCUAACGUGGACCCGUUACCCGGGUUGCGGACAGUGUCUGGUGGGUAGUUUGACUGGGGCGGUCUCCUCCUAAAGAGUAACGGAGGAGCACGAAGGUUGGCUAAUCCUGGUCGGACAUCAGGAGGUUAGUGCAAUGGCAUAAGCCAGCUUGACUGCGAGCGUGACGGCGCGAGCAGGUGCGAAAGCAGGUCAUAGUGAUCCGGUGGUUCUGAAUGGAAGGGCCAUCGCUCAACGGAUAAAAGGUACUCCGGGGAUAACAGGCUGAUACCGCCCAAGAGUUCAUAUCGACGGCGGUGUUUGGCACCUCGAUGUCGGCUCAUCACAUCCUGGGGCUGAAGUAGGUCCCAAGGGUAUGGCUGUUCGCCAUUUAAAGUGGUACGCGAGCUGGGUUUAGAACGUCGUGAGACAGUUCGGUCCCUAUCUGCCGUGGGCGCUGGAGAACUGAGGGGGGCUGCUCCUAGUACGAGAGGACCGGAGUGGACGCAUCACUGGUGUUCGGGUUGUCAUGCCAAUGGCACUGCCCGGUAGCUAAAUGCGGAAGAGAUAAGUGCUGAAAGCAUCUAAGCACGAAACUUGCCCCGAGAUGAGUUCUCCCUGAGACUUAAAGUCUCCUGAAGGAACGUUGAAGACGACGACGUUGAUAGGCCGGGUGUGUAAGCGCAGCGAUGCGUUGAGCUAACCGGUACUAAUGAACCGUGAGGCUUAACCUUACAACGC